Non-coding RNA from Penaeus vannamei (Pacific white shrimp), 538 nucleotides. The record is from RefSeq and is a predicted model, not a curated record. NCBI's taxonomy places the organism in Eukaryota, Metazoa, Arthropoda, Malacostraca, Decapoda, Penaeidae.
ACUGACCGAGACUCAAUAAACGCCAAACCACAUAUGCACUGACUGAAUUCCCUCAUACAGUAUCCUCGGACAAAUUCAUUGAUAUGGAUAUAAGGUUUAUAAGGGAUAACAGGGUUUGUGGCACAACACUUGCGCUGGCGGAACACCUGCUCUGAUACUGUACGGAACAGUUCCAGUCGUUCAUAACACCGCCGCCGUAGUACACCUCUCGGGUGUUAUCUCCUUCAGAGUGCAGUGCGAAUCAUAAGCUUUCUACAUGUGUGUGUAGAAGGCAAAAAGGCAUUAUACGUGGGCCGAAUGAUGGGACCAUGGUCAAGGCAUCCUCGAAAACCGCUGGCAAUACUAGUUGUGGUUUGGCUCCUCUUGACGAUCCGACUCAACGUCUACAUUCCUUCGGUCAAGAUUCCGGACGACGCACUGACGACCGGAGACUCCAGAUUCGACGAAUACAUCCAAGAAAGGUCUCCCAGAAGGGAUUUACAUAACAGCCCAAGGAUUGAAGAUCUCACACUAAUACAUAGGGAUAACGAGGCAAAAU